GUACAUGGGGUUUUGGGCCUCAGGGUACAGGUUCGAGUCCUGUUUUUCUAGGA
RNAcentral lists this transfer RNA (53 nucleotides) under Lygosoma quadrupes. Its description in RNAcentral is "partial tRNA-Glx". Lineage: Eukaryota; Metazoa; Chordata; Lepidosauria; Squamata; Scincidae. The record is from RNAcentral.